GCUGGGCACGGUGGUGUGUGCCUGUAAUUCCAGCUACUUGGGAGGCUGAACUGGGAGGAUCACUUGAGCCCAGGAGUUCCAGGUUGCAGUGAGCCACAAUCGCACCACUACACUCCAGCCUGGGCGACAAAGCAAGACCCUGUUUCAU
Molecule: non-coding RNA, 148 nt
Filed under: Chlorocebus sabaeus (green monkey)
Lineage: Eukaryota; Metazoa; Chordata; Mammalia; Primates; Cercopithecidae
Also listed under: 2 other names
Source: Rfam by way of RNAcentral